CAUGAAGCUGGAAUCGCUAGUAAUCGCAGAUCAGAAUGCUGCGGUGAAUACGUUCCCGGGUCUUGUACACACCGCCCGUCACACCAUGGGAGUCGGAAAUGCCCGAAGCCAGUGACCCAACCUUUAAGGAGGGAGCUGUCGAAGGCAGGUCUGGUAACUGGGGUGAAGUCGUAACAAGGUAGC
This 183-nucleotide ribosomal RNA is filed under the name uncultured bacterium. RNAcentral describes it as "partial 16S ribosomal RNA". It matches the Rfam family "Bacterial small subunit ribosomal RNA", at positions 1319 to 1500 of the family's 1533-position model. The record is from RNAcentral.